UGUAAAAGCGCCUCGAGCCCGCCCAGAA
This 28-nucleotide small RNA is filed under the name Bombyx mori (domestic silkworm). RNAcentral's name for it is "ovarian small RNA-35259". The record is from RNAcentral. Lineage: Eukaryota; Metazoa; Arthropoda; Insecta; Lepidoptera; Bombycidae.